Ctenocephalides felis (cat flea) is the source of this 497-nucleotide long non-coding RNA. RefSeq lists it as uncharacterized. NCBI's taxonomy places the organism in Eukaryota, Metazoa, Arthropoda, Insecta, Siphonaptera, Pulicidae. The record is from RefSeq and is a predicted model, not a curated record. The transcript is spliced from 4 exons.
AGUAUCAGGUUGUAGAUUGUUUGUAAUCCUGUAUUGCUGGGUAUAAAAAGGUCUUAUCAUUUGGAUAUGCUGGGCUGUAGACUGCAGGUAAUCCUGCACUACUGAUAGCUACAUACUGGUUAAAAAGGUAUACAGAUUUGGCCUGGCUAGAAGAAAACGUUCGAGGGCAGGAUUAUUUCAAAUGCAUGUCCUCGAUUUCUGCAAAUCCUUUAAGUACUGAUGCAACCAGGACAUCGGAUUGGGGGAAAGAAAUUUGGGCAGACUUAUUCCAUCUGUUACCGACAGAUUUACUACUGAGGAUAGGCUGAAAGAGAUGAUUGACUUCUUUGCCAAAUUUCCGGAGGCCGGAGCAGGAGCUGCUGCUCGGAAACAAGCCCUGGAAACUGUUUCCAAUAAUAUAAAAUGGUUAAAAGUUAACAAAGACAUUGUUGCAAAAUGGUUGAACAAGAGGAAAUGAUUUAAAAAAAUAUAUAUAAGUGCUCUUUAGUGUUGAAAGU